AGCAGUCCACGGGAACACGAAGGGUGCAAGCGUUAAUCGGAAUUACUGGGCGUAAAGGGCGCGUAGGCGGAUAGUUUAGUCAGAGGUGAAAGCCCAGGGCUCAACCUUGGAACUGCCUUUGAUACUGGCUAUCUUGAGUUCGGGAGAGGUGAGUGGAAUGCCGAGUGUAGAGGUGAAAUUCGUAGAUAUUCGGCGGAACACCAGUGGCGAAGGCGACUCACUGGCCCGAUACUGACGCUGAGGCGCGAAAGCGUGGGGAGCAAACAGGAUUAGAUACCCCGGUAGUCCCUGUCUCUUAUACAC
Molecule: ribosomal RNA, 303 nt
Filed under: uncultured bacterium
Lineage: Bacteria
Description: partial 16S ribosomal RNA
Rfam family: Bacterial small subunit ribosomal RNA
Source: RNAcentral